GCAAGUCGAACGGUAGGAAUCCUUCGGGAUUCUGAGAGUGGCGAACGGGUGAGUAACACGUAGAUGAUCUACCUUUUAGUUGGGGAUAGCCCAUGGAAACAUGGAGUAAUACCGAAUAAUCUCUUUUCCCUUUGGGGAAUUGAGGAAAGCAGCGUUUGCUGCGCUGAAAGAUGAGUCUGCGCACUAUUAGCUAGUUGGUGGUGUAAUGGACUACCAAGGCGACGAUAGUUAGCCGACCUGAGAGGGUGAUC
RNAcentral lists this ribosomal RNA (251 nucleotides) under uncultured bacterium. Its description in RNAcentral is "partial 16S ribosomal RNA". It matches the Rfam family "Bacterial small subunit ribosomal RNA", at positions 57 to 305 of the family's 1533-position model. The record is from RNAcentral.